This 22-nucleotide non-coding RNA is filed under the name Arabidopsis thaliana (thale cress). Lineage: Eukaryota; Viridiplantae; Streptophyta; Magnoliopsida; Brassicales; Brassicaceae. The record is from RNAcentral.
UGAGCUUGGUGCAUCAAUUGCC